AAAAUACCAAUUAUUUGUUUCAAAGCUCACGCUGAAGCAUUGCUACUGGCUCCAUCAAAAUAGUAGUAUCGGUUGUUUUCUGUUUAUGCUUUUGUAGGUAAUCAUUCACAACACAACACAUUUUCUAUAGCUAAUGACAUCUUGGGUUGUUGUCUGAUACUCAGAGCUGCAAAAUCUGAAGGUAGAGUGACUGCAGAUAGUGUGGUUUAUAGUUUUGGAACUCUAUUGCUUGAUCUCUUGAGUGGUAAACAUAUUCCACCAAGCCAUUUUCUUUUAAAGAUGGAGGUGAAAUAAUAUCUAUAGAUUCAAGUGUGAAGCAGGGUGGAAUCAUAUCUAGAUUCAAGUGUGAAGCAAGGAGGCUGUAGUACUCUUUUAUUAUCUCACAACAUGGAUUCAAUAUGUUUCUUUAACAUCACUAAAGUUUUGGCUUAUUACUUUUAGGACAAGUUGUCUAUGUUAGAUUCAACAAACUUCUCAAUGAUUUAUAUGUUUAUAUUUGUAAUGUA
Long non-coding RNA from Vicia villosa (hairy vetch), 506 nucleotides. RefSeq lists it as uncharacterized. The record is from RefSeq and is a predicted model, not a curated record. NCBI's taxonomy places the organism in Eukaryota, Viridiplantae, Streptophyta, Magnoliopsida, Fabales, Fabaceae. The transcript has 3 exons.